Molecule: ribosomal RNA, 255 nt
Filed under: uncultured bacterium
Lineage: Bacteria
Description: partial 16S ribosomal RNA
Rfam family: Bacterial small subunit ribosomal RNA
Source: RNAcentral
UACGAAGGGGGCUAGCGUUGCUCGGAAUCACUGGGCGUAAAGCGUGCGUAGGUGGUUUGUUAAGUCUGUUGUGAAAGCCCCGGGCUUAACCUGGGAAUGGCCGUCGAAACUGGCGAACUGGAGUGUGGCAGAGGGGGGGUGGAAUUCCGCGUGUAGCAGUGAAAUGCGUAGAGAUGCGGAGGAACACCGAUGGCGAAGGCAGCCCCCCUGGGCUGACACUGACGCUCAGGCACGAAAGCGUGGGGAGCAAACAGG